This 549-nucleotide small RNA is filed under the name Pongo abelii (Sumatran orangutan). RNAcentral describes it as "processed transcript". Lineage: Eukaryota; Metazoa; Chordata; Mammalia; Primates; Hominidae. The record is from RNAcentral.
GGCAGGAUGAGAUUUGGGGCAAGGGCAGUGCCUGUGAGGACCAGGUUGGCGCUGUACGUCUAUGAGUACCUGCUGCACAUCGGUGCCCAGAAGUCAGCCCAGACCUUCCUGUCUGAGAUCCGAUGGGAGAAGAACAUCACGCUGGGGGAGCCCCCCGGGUUCCUGCACUCCUGGUGGUGCGUCUUCUGGGACCUGUACUGCGCGGCACCUGACCGAAGAGAGGCCUGCGAGCACUCCGGCGAGGCCAAGGCCUUCCAGGACUACAGUGCUGCAGCCGCCCCCAGCCCUGUUAUGGGGAGUAUGGCCCCAGGUGAUGCAAUGGCCGCAGGCCCCAUGGCGGCUGGCUUCUUCCAGGGCCCCCCCGGCUCCCAGCAGUCCCCCCACAACCCCAACGCCCCAUGAUGGGGCCUCACGGUCAGCCCUUCAUGUCACCGCGCUUCCCAGGGGCCCCCCGCCCCACCCUGCGGAUGCCAAGUCAGCCUCCCGCAGGCCUCCCUGGCUCCCAGCCCCUCCUCCCUGGCACCAUGGAGCCCUCCCCACGAGCCCAGG